GUCCCCAUCGUCUAGUGGCCCAGGACUCCAGGUUUUCAUCCUGGCAACAGGGGUUCGAUUCCCCUUGGGGACGCCA
This 76-nucleotide transfer RNA is filed under the name Candidatus Thioglobus sp. RNAcentral's name for it is "tRNA-Glu". It matches the Rfam family "tRNA". From Rfam's summary of the family: Transfer RNA (tRNA) molecules are approximately 80 nucleotides in length. Their secondary structure includes four short double-helical elements and three loops (D, anti-codon, and T loops). The record is from RNAcentral. RNAcentral also lists the same sequence under 1 other name. Lineage: Bacteria; Pseudomonadati; Pseudomonadota; Gammaproteobacteria; Pseudothioglobaceae (SeqCode).